Molecule: ribosomal RNA, 292 nt
Filed under: uncultured bacterium
Lineage: Bacteria
Description: partial 16S ribosomal RNA
Rfam family: Bacterial small subunit ribosomal RNA
Source: RNAcentral
GUGUCAGCCGCCGCGGUAAUACGUAGGGGGCAAGCGUUGUCCGGAUUUAUUGGGCGUAAAGCGCUCGCAGGUGGUCCGUCGCGUCGUGCGUGAAAGCCCCCGGCUCAACUGGGGAGUGUCGUGCGAUACGGGCGGACUGGAGGCCAGUAGGGGGAUGCGGAAUUCCGGGUGUAGUGGUGGAAUGCGUAGAGAUCCGGAGGAACACCAGCGGCGAAGGCGGCAUCCUGGACUGGUCCUGACACUCAGGAGCGAAAGCGUGGGGAGCGAUCCGGAUUAGAUACCCGGGUAGUCC